CCUACGGGAGGCAGCAGUGAGGAAUAUUGGUCAAUGGACGAGAGUCUGAACCAGCCAAGUAGCGUGAAGGAUGACUGCCCUAUGGGUUGUAAACUUCUUUUAUAUGGGAAUAAAACGUUCCACGUGUGGGAUUUUGUAUGUACCAUAUGAAUAAGGAUCGGCUAACUCCGUGCCAGCAGCCGCGGUAAUACGGAGGAUCCGAGCGUUAUCCGGAUUUAUUGGGUUUAAAGGGAGCGUAGGUGGAUUGUUAAGUCAGUUGUGAAAGUUUGCGGCUCAACUGUAAAAUUGCAGUUGAAACUGGCAGUCUUGAGUACAGUAGAGGUGGGCGGAAUUCGUGGUGUAGCGGUGAAAUGCUUAGAUAUCACGAAGAACUCCGAUUGCGAAGGCAGUUCACUGGACUGCAACUGACACUGAGGCUCGAAAGUGUGGGUAUCAAACAGGAUUAGAUACCCGAGUAGUC
RNAcentral lists this ribosomal RNA (460 nucleotides) under uncultured bacterium. RNAcentral describes it as "partial 16S ribosomal RNA". It matches the Rfam family "Bacterial small subunit ribosomal RNA", at positions 338 to 795 of the family's 1533-position model. The record is from RNAcentral.